Molecule: small RNA, 28 nt
Filed under: Bombyx mori (domestic silkworm)
Lineage: Eukaryota; Metazoa; Arthropoda; Insecta; Lepidoptera; Bombycidae
Description: ovarian small RNA-31177
Source: RNAcentral
UGAAUGGAAAACUUUCGUGUGUAAUCGA